Long non-coding RNA from Dermochelys coriacea (leatherback sea turtle), 913 nucleotides. RefSeq lists it as uncharacterized. The transcript is spliced from 4 exons. NCBI's taxonomy places the organism in Eukaryota, Metazoa, Chordata, Testudines, Dermochelyidae. The record is from RefSeq and is a predicted model, not a curated record.
CAGAUAGAAAAUUGGAAAUUGAAAGGGGGUUGUGGGAAAACUUUGCAAUCCCUCACUGGGAGAAGGGAGGUACAUUUGGGCUUGCAAACCCAGAGAGGGGAGGAAGGUAGUAAGGUCUAAGAGAAAACAGCCCUUGAUUGCUGGCUGGGGAUGUCCCUGAGCCAGAAGCUGGAGUAGAGGGCAGGCCUGGGUUCUCCUGCUAGUGACUGAGGGAGCUGAACUACGUGGUAAUGAAUGGGAAGACUGCCCAGGAUUGCUGAAUAAAGACUUUGAUACCUUGGAAGAGGAUAAGUAGAUAGUGACCUGCCUGGAGGACUGAGUCAUGAAGAGGCAGCAGCAGCUUGUGGAGCAAGAGAGGGAUUGCAGUGCAGAUGCAGAGAGUGAGAGGCAAAGAGAUGGUGUGCAACUGCAGAAAGCUGCAUCCUAGAUCUCAGCUAAAGUGGAGCCUCAGUUUCUCAAGGAAAGAGAUGGAAAUAACCUCAUUGAAAUAGAUUUUUCAGGGCUCAGAGUCAAGCUGGAUCCUCUCCAUCUUGUGAAUUUGCUCCUCAGUAGCAAGUGUGCAACUCUCCCAGUUAUGCUCUCCAAUGACAGAGGUAACUGAUUGGAACUUUGCAAACAACUCCUUUGAUGUACAAGAAAGAACAAAAAUGCAGGUACUGCUCAUGUACAUACAGCUAAGCAUAUGCAUAAGUUUUGCAGCAGUGGGAUAAUAGGAAGUCUUGAACUGAGUCUUGCCUCAACCAUCCUUGGUCUCAGGAACUAAAAAGUGGGUUGAGACAGGAACCUACAAAUUGCAGAAUAGAAAACUGGAUGAAAAAACUUUAACUAAAAAUCUAAAUAAAAGCAACAUGUAAGCUCUGAAAUGUAGUCCAUUUUUAUUUAGGCGCUUUGAUAUGUAUGUAAAAGCAUAACA